RNAcentral lists this ribosomal RNA (1343 nucleotides) under uncultured bacterium. RNAcentral's name for it is "16S ribosomal RNA". It matches the Rfam family "Bacterial small subunit ribosomal RNA", at positions 28 to 1378 of the family's 1533-position model. The record is from RNAcentral.
GACGAACGCUGGCGGCGUGCUUAACACAUGCAAGUCGAACGGAAAGGCCCUGCUUUUGUGGGGUGCUCGAGUGGCGAACGGGUGAGUAACACGUGAGUAACCUGCCCUUGACUUUGGGAUAACUUCAGGAAACUGGGGCUAAUACCGGAUAGGAGCUCCUGCUGCAUGGUGGGGGUUGGAAAGUUUCGGCGGUUGGGGAUGGACUCGCGGCUUAUCAGCUUGUUGGUGGGGUAGUGGCUUACCAAGGCUUUGACGGGUAGCCGGCCUGAGAGGGUGACCGGCCACAUUGGGACUGAGAUACGGCCCAGACUCCUACGGGAGGCAGCAGUGGGGAAUAUUGCACAAUGGGCGGAAGCCUGAUGCAGCAACGCCGCGUGCGGGAUGACGGCCUUCGGGUUGUAAACCGCUUUCGCCUGUGACGAAGCGUGAGUGACGGUAAUGGGUAAAGAAGCACCGGCUAACUACGUGCCAGCAGCCGCGGUGAUACGUAGGGUGCGAGCGUUGUCCGGAUUUAUUGGGCGUAAAGGGCUCGCAGGUGGUUGAUCGCGUCGGAAGUGUAAUCUUGGGGCUUAACCCUGAGCGUGCUUUCGAUACGGGUUGACUUGAGGAAGGUAGGGGAGAAUGGAAUUCCUGGUGGAGCGGUGGAAUGCGCAGAUAUCAGGAGGAACACCAGUGGCGAAGGCGGUUCUCUGGGCCUUUCCUGACGCUGAGGAGCGAAAGCGUGGGGAGCGAACAGGCUUAGAUACCCUGGUAGUCCACGCUGUAAACGGUGGGUACUAGGUGUGGGGUCCAUUCCACGGGUUCCGUGCCGUAGCUAACGCUUUAAGUACCCCGCCUGGGGAGUACGGCCGCAAGGCUAAAACUCAAAGGAAUUGACGGGGCCCCGCACAAGCGGCGGAGCAUGCGGAUUAAUUCGAUGCAACGCGUAGAACCUUACCUGGGUUUGACAUGGAUCGGGAGUGCUCAGAGAUGGGUGUGCCUCUUUUGGGGUCGGUUCACAGGUGGUGCAUGCCUGUCGUCAGCUCGUGUCGUGAGAUGUUGGGUUAAGUCCCGCAACGAGCGCAACCCUUGUUCACUGUUGCCAGCACGUUAUGGUGGGGACUCAGUGGAGACCGCCGGGGUCAACUCGGAGGAAGGUGGGGAUGACGUCAAGUCCUCAUGCCCCUUAUGUCCAGGGCUUCACGCAUGCUACAAUGGCUGGUACAGAGAGUGGCGAGCCUGUGAGGGUGUGCGAAUCUCGGAAAGCCGGUCUCAGUUCGGAUUGGGGUCUGCAACUCGACCUCAUGAAGUCGGAGUCGCUAGUAAUCGCAGAUCAGCAACGCUGCGGUGAAUACGUUCCCGGG